Non-coding RNA from Monodelphis domestica (gray short-tailed opossum), 786 nucleotides. NCBI's taxonomy places the organism in Eukaryota, Metazoa, Chordata, Mammalia, Didelphimorphia, Didelphidae. The record is from RefSeq and is a predicted model, not a curated record.
GAGCUAGUCAGGCCUGGAUGCUGAGUUCAGUGCUUUGUGCCACAGUUUAGGAAAGUCAGCAAUAAAUUGGCAUGUGUCCAGAGGAGGGCAACCAUGAUAGUGAUGGGACUUGAAACCAUGUCAUAUAAUAUGUCAAAACUGAAUCCAAACUAGAGUAGGAGAAGUUGCAGUGAGUAAAAUUUUAUGUUGAUAGAUGGGAUAACUCCCUAACAGCUGGAGAUGACUUAAAAAUGGAAGAGGUUGACUUGGGAGAUCAUGAGUUUCCUGUCACUGGGAGCAUUCAUUCAGAGAUUGAAUGACCCCUGUCACUUAUAUAAUAGAAAACAUUCUACCAUGGAAUGGUCCAGUCCAAUUCCUAGAUGCUAUUGAAUCCUAGAAUGCUCUAACUGGAAAGGGCCUGAGAGUGCUCCUAUUCCAACGCCUCCUUUUAUAAAUCAGAGAAAUCAGAAGUGAAAAUACUAACUUGCCCAAGGUAAUACAAUUACAAAGUAAGGGUUAGGUCAGAUAUAAAUUGUUAAAACACUUAAAUGUGCUUGUGAGCUCGCCUAAUUAGCACACUUAACUAUAUUUUUGGUCACUGGAGCAUGGGCCCCUCAUAUCUGUUCCUUAGACCUUGUGUCCAGGGUUGUGGCCAACACCUCCCUUCUGGACCUUUGUUAAGAUGGUAGAAACCGAUAGACCCCUCUUGCUCAAGUCCCUGGUCUUUCCCCCCACCCCCUGUCCAUCAGGCUACUGUCUCUGACAGAGAUAAGAUGACCCCACCUCUUUGGGUUGUCCCCCUGUCCU